Molecule: non-coding RNA, 129 nt
Organism: Paramuricea clavata
Lineage: Eukaryota; Metazoa; Cnidaria; Anthozoa; Malacalcyonacea; Plexauridae
Source: the annotation of a GenBank genome assembly
GACCACGUAGCUCAGUUGGCAGAGCAUUGGGCUAGUAUCCAAAGGUGGUAAGACCUGACCGCUAGCUCAGUCAGUAGAGCAUUGGGCUAUAGUAUCCAAAGGUCGUAGGUUCGAUUCCCACCGUGGCCA